AUUGAACGCUGGCGUCAGGCUUAACACAUGCAAGUCGAACGAGUGGCGGACGGGUGAGUAAUGCUUGGGAAUCUGGCUUAUGGCGGGGGAUAACUACGGGUAACUGUAGCUAAUACCGCAUACCAUCGGCUGAGCCCAAGUGGGAUUAGGUAGUUGGUGAGGUAAAGGCUCACCAAGGCGACGAUCGCUAGCUGGUUGGAGAGGAUGACCAGCCACACUGGGACUGAGACACGGCCCAGACUCCUACGCGAGGCAGCAGUGGGGAAUAUUGCGCAAUGGGGGCAAGCUGAUGCAGCCAUGCCGCGUGAAUGAAGAAGGCCUUCGGGUUGUAAAGUACUUUCGGGAGCGAGGCGUUAACUACAGAAGAAGCACCGGCUAACUCCGUGCCAGCAGCCGCGGUAAUUC
RNAcentral lists this ribosomal RNA (405 nucleotides) under uncultured bacterium. RNAcentral's name for it is "partial 16S ribosomal RNA". It matches the Rfam family "Bacterial small subunit ribosomal RNA", at positions 30 to 526 of the family's 1533-position model. The record is from RNAcentral.